GCCUUCGUGGUGUAGUGGUCAGCACAAUCGGCACGUCACCGAGAGGUCCGGGGUUCGAUUCCUGGCGAAGGCG
RNAcentral lists this transfer RNA (73 nucleotides) under Stegodyphus mimosarum. It matches the Rfam family "tRNA". From Rfam's summary of the family: Transfer RNA (tRNA) molecules are approximately 80 nucleotides in length. The record is from Rfam by way of RNAcentral. Lineage: Eukaryota; Metazoa; Arthropoda; Arachnida; Araneae; Eresidae.